GGAAUAUUGGACAAUGGGCGAAAGCCUGAUCCAGCCAUGCCGCGUGUGUGAAGAAGGCCUUUUGGUUGUAAAGCACUUUAAGCGGGGAGGAGGGCACCACGGUUAAUACCCGUGAAUGUCGGACGUUACCCGCAGAAUAAGCACCGGCUAACUCUGUGCCAGCAGCCGCGGUAAUACAGAGGGUGCGAGCGUUAAUCGGAAUUACUGGGCGUAAAGCGCGCGUAGGCGGCUUGUUAAGUCAAAUGUGAAAUCCCCGAGCUUAACUUGGGCAUUGCAUUCGAUACUGGCAAGCUAGAGUAUGGGAGAGGAAGGUAGAAUUCCAGGUGUAGCGGUGAAAUGCGUAGAGAUCUGGAGGAAUACCGAUGGCGAAGGCAGCCAUCUGGCCUAAUACUGACACUGAGGUACGAAAGCAUGGGGAGCAAACAGGAUUAGAUACCCGUG
Molecule: ribosomal RNA, 441 nt
Filed under: uncultured Alkanindiges sp.
Lineage: Bacteria; Pseudomonadati; Pseudomonadota; Gammaproteobacteria; Moraxellales; Moraxellaceae
Description: bacterial SSU rRNA
Rfam family: Bacterial small subunit ribosomal RNA
Source: RNAcentral